GCCUGGAGAAGAGGAGGUUAAGGGGUGAUAUGAUAGCCAUGUUCAAAUAUAUCAAAGGAUGUCACAUAGAGGAGGGAGAAAGGUUGUUUUCUGCUGCUCCAGAGAAGCGGACACGGAGCAAUGGAUCCAAACUACAAGAAAGAAGAUUCCACCUAAACAUUAGGAAGAACUUCCUGACAGUAAGAGCUGUUCGACAGUGGAAUUUGCUGCCAAGGAGUGUGGUGGAGUCUCCUUCUUUGGAGGUCUUUAAACAGAGGCUUGACAACCAUAUGUCAGGAGUGCUCUGAUGGUGUUUCCUGCUUGGCAGGGGGUUGGACUCGAUGGCCCUUGUGGUCUCUUACAACUCUAUGAUUCUAUUCUAUUCUAUUCUAUUCUAUUCUAUUCUAUUCUAAAUGAUUGUUCCUCUACAGCCUAAUGGUACGUUCCAUAAUUCUACUGCCUCCUCCUUCUUAUCUUGUAGCUCGCUCUUAGACUUAAUCAAGACAUGUAGAAUCAAAUUCAAGACACAGUCCUGCGAUAAAGUUCUACCACUUCAGGCUGCAGGGGAGGGAUGCCAGUUUUGAAUGCUGCUCAAGAACAAUAAAAACCUCCCUUCACAUUAUAAAUAGACACACUAGGCAGGGGACACGCUCCAGCUUAGCUCAUUCCUUGCUGUGUUACUUUUGUCCUUGCAGAGAAGCUUUCAAGAAUGAGCUUCCUAACCUCUGCAGCGUCCACAUUACCAGGAUUUGGCCCCAGCUCUAUUUCACUGCAUGAGUAGAUCUGGCCUUCCUUCUGAAGAAACGCUCUUAGGAUUCUUUCAACAAAUAUGCACUGCACCUUUAAAGGUAGGAGUGCUAACCAACACCUGGUCAGCAGUGUUGGGAAAAUGCACCUCAAGGGUUCCUUGCAUGCACAAGGUGUUAGUCACCCUGUUCUGGCUGGGAUCCUGCAAUGAUACGCCCAGUUUCUAUUCAAACAGGCCAACUUUUUGCUGCAAUUCUGCCUUAUGCUUCUUCUCCAAAGCUGCCCUGAGCAUACUUUGUGUGCUGGCUGGCUGUACUUGAGUCAAAUAUACAUAAAAGGCUUUCUUUAAAAAGCCAAAAACAAAAUGCAGCAUGUCCAGACCAGUGUAGUUUAAUGAAGAGUUCAAAAUAGGUUGUAAUUCCUAUGUUCCAUCCCUUACUCCUUUGCCAGAACAAAGUAGGCCGACCAAUGAGAAGGACUCUGGCAUUGUGUGGUGCUGUUCUCCAGCCAAGCAAGGGAUACAAAAAUGCCUAUGGGGAAGAGCGCAUUGGUAAAGGUCAGCAUAAAUCACCAGUGCUCAGAGAUCUGCACUGGUUGCCAAUUUGCUACUGAGCCAAGUUCAAGGUGUUUCUUAACAACUUGGGACCAGUUUACCUAUGAGAUCGCCUUACCCCAUAUUUGCCCACUCAACCACUGUGAUCAGUGGAAUUGGCACUACUGCGGGUGUCACGUAAUUCCUGCAUCCGCAUUUGUAAGUGUGCCAUCAUUUAGUGUGGCAGCCCUUACACUUUGGAACUCCUUGCCUAUUGAUACCUAACAGGCACUGUCACUGUAUUCUUUUCGGUGCCUGCUGGAAACAUUUUUGUUUAAACAAGCCUGCCUAGAUAUAUAGAAAGUUGAUGUGAGUUUUAAUUUGUUUCAAUCUGUGGUUGUGUUAACACUUUUUGUAGACUUUAAAUUACUGCUGUAGUGAUAAUUUUUAUAGUUUUAUCUUUUUUUGUAAACGGUUUUGAGUUGUCAUCCCCCCCCCCAAUCGAGCAGUGUAUACAUUUUAUGAGAUAAAUAAAAAAAAAGGGAAGGGAAAUGCUUGCAAAAUUUGCACAGACCUGAGAAAAUUUGCAGGGAAGCCAUGAAUUUUAAAGUUGCAUGAUAGUGCUUUUGCGGGGGGGGGGGGGGUGUCUGGAUUGGACCCGCCAGCUGGAAUAAAUUCCCCACUCCAGUUUAAAAGUGUUCAAGCAAAUGGAAAGGCAACUCAGCAGAAAGUAAUUUAAAACAAGCAAACAGCUAUAGCAGUUGUUCUUUUGUAGUGAGCGUUUUAGAACCAUAGACUCAAAAGGUGGUAGGGAGUCUAUCUUCAAAAAGACCAAACAUCAAAAACAAAGCCACACACUUUGCUAGAAAAUAAAAGGAGAGUGUUAUAAUAAAAGUAAUCAGUAGAUUAGGAUUUUGUUAGGUCACAUCCACAACUGUACCUUUGACACACAUUCAGAUCUUUCUCCAAACUGCAGUUGCCAAGAUUCUUUGGGGGAAACUACAACUGUUCCAAGUGUCCCUAUUUUCCGGGGACAGUUCUGAAAUUACAAAAGCCACCCCAGCUUCUGAUAUGAUGCUGGAAUGCCCCUGUUUCCCCUGCCAGGGCUGCCACCACCGAACUGGAGGAGGAGGAGGAGGAGGAGCCAGUGCUUGUUCUCAGUGGUGGGGAGGGGCCACUGCUGCCAUUGAGACCCAGCCUCAGCCUCACGUGACGCACCGGCUCUGGGGGGCAGGCAGGGCAGGGCUGCCCUGGGCAGGAAGGAAGGCGGAGCAGAGCACAAACCAAGGCUUUGUGCAUCCACAUCUAAGCUUGCCCCUUUCUAAAAUUUAUUUGUUGAUGUGUGUUUUUGUAAUUCUACCAAAGAAGAAAAUUAAAUCAGAAUCAAUGGGUUUUCUCCGGAGGCUGGAGGGUGUGUGCGCUGUGUCCUGCUGGUGCAGCCGUGUGGGAAAUGCUCAAGGGGUGUGUGACAAAAAUGUGGGGUCGAGGAGGGUCAGUUGCAGGGAUGGGGAGUGAGAAAUGUCCCUAUUUUCAUUUGAGGAAUGUUGUAGAGUAUGCUAUAAUUACAUUGUGAUUUUACCAGGGGGUCACAUCCUUCCAGAGCACAGUGUAAGAAUGAGCAAGAAGCUGCAAAGCCAGACUCCUGUAAGCACAAAGUAUUAGUGGAAGUCAGUGCUAAAUAAAGUGACCAUUCUGCGUCACAACAUAAUUUAAUUUAUUUCUAUAUUGCCCUUCCUCCCAUGGGAGCCCAGGGCAAUGCUCUGCAUAAAAAUACAAUCUAUGCAAUAAAAACAUUCUUUAAAAAUACAUUUCUAAAGCUAAAAUCACAAAGCAAUACCAACUGCUGAAAUUUCAGUUGACAUCCAUGCCCCAAAGGCAAACAAAUAUGUCUCCCAAUUUGUGUCUGAACACCGUCAUUUUUUUAGACAUGAAGAUGCACUGCCUCACCUGUGAGGAGAACCUGUGGUCCUCCAGACUAACUCCCACCAGUUCCAGUCAGUAUGGUCAAUGGCCAAGAAUGAUGAGAGUAAAGUCCAACAACGUCUAGAGGGCACCAGGUUGGGGAAGCCUACUAUAUAAUCUUGGUGUUCAUCCCUAGAUAUGUGGAAUGUCGGGAUUCCACAUCCUAUCACAUGUUCAGCUGUUAACCAAACAAAUAUUUUCUCUCUCUUUUUAAAUGCACAAAAAUAAGCCAAUUUAUGACCAGUGGAACUUGCAAGAAUUUUUUGGGCAGCCCCCCUGUGGCUGCAGCAGAGAGUGCAGAAACUACUAACAACCCAAAAAUUCUGAAGGACAGUUAAGUGACAAAGUGGUCUCUAGUCCAUGGAAGCUUGCCCUGUAGCCAAUGUAUCAUCAACCUUCAGUGAACUCUGGUGGGUUUUUCCAACUCUAUUCAUUUCAUUCUUAUGCAACAUGGAAUCAUAAAAGCCUUAUUAGCAGAGGUGGAUUAAUUAUCUCAAAAGCUGAGCGGCUGAGAACAUUGGUGGUGGAGGCAACCGUGCCAAGGUUAAAUCGCAGCUGGAGUUCUUUGCAAGCGGCCUGGUGUCAGCUUGCGGCAACCCUGAGCAGCUGCUGGGAUCAUAGCGCCCUGGCCGGGCCCUAGGAGAGUCAGAGGCCGCAGCUCAGUGGUAGAGCUCCUGCUUUGCAUGCGCAAGGUCCCAGGGUCAAUCCCCAGCAUCUCCAUGUAGAGAGAGAAUAUAUACCAUUAGUUCAUCGAGUUCGGUAUUAAGUACCCAUAAAGCUCAGUAUAAGGCUGCUUCUUAUGUUACCAUUGCUGACCGCCGUUAAAAAACAUUUCCAGUGCUCCCAGUGAGUUCUGGGCAGGUGGAGCCGAGGGAUUCACAUUUAAAUACCCACCCCAAACCCCUGACUUAUCACUCAAAGGCAUUGUGGGAAAUAAAAAUAGUAGUUUGCUCAGAUUCAGCUGGUGAUGCUCAGCUCUGCUCACUGGCACCCUCCGACGUAGGAGGGGAGCUGCCACCACCCCAAAUCUGAAGGGGAGCCUGUUUACAGUCACACUUUGGAAUGAUACACGUGCAAAUGAAUGUGGGAAGCAUUUUCCUUUAUUUCUGUGAACUGGGGUUUGGCUUCCGACCCUGGGUCAAAUUGUUUUCCAAAGUGCGAAAUCACAGUUAAAACCUAAUCUUGUGGUUGGUGCACAACCCUAACCCAAAUGGGUCCUUCUGCAGGGGAGCUUCCAUGAAAUGUUGAUGAGAAAAUACUGGUGGGUAUGUUGCACCCAUAGCAGCAGAUGAUUAGGCAACUGAGGAUGCAAUUCCAACCCCACUUGCUUGAGAUUAAGUCCCAUUGAAUUCAAUAUGAUUUACCUCCGAGCAGAAACAGUCAGGCUUGCACUGUAAAUCAUGACAAACAAUGUCUCUGUUUUUCUGCAGAAUUGCUCUGCACAGCUACAGAGGGUCUGAAUAUGAGUCAGAGAUUAUAGUUCCUCUCUCUCCCUAGUGAAGACAAAUGCCUGAUCAUACGACAAGCUAUGCAAGUGUUGAAUUAUCUGUGGGCUCUAGUCAUUCUUCAUGUCUGAAGCAAGGCAGCAGCAGCAUGUCAUAAAGACCCAAAUUCUGCAAUGAAAUGGCAGUUCCCUGCCCAUAUUUCCUCCUUUAUUCCUUUCUGUAUCUACAUCCCACCCAUGAAGAGUUAUGACUUUAGUCCAGGCUUGCAGGAAAAUAAAGCUUUAUUUCAUAAUAAGGAUGAACGUGGCCUGAAUAUAAAUGCAUGGAAAUACAGAAGCUCCAUUAAGUAAUGCCAUCAUGGGAUAUGAUUUAAAAUACCAACCAAACAGGUCCAGAUGAAGAAUGUUUUGUGACACAAACUUCAGGUUCUAAGUUUUUGAGGCCAAGUAUUACCUUCCAAGGAGGUAGAGGUGUUAGGAACCUUGAGUGGAUCUAAACACAGGAAAGAAACGCUAUAAAUAAGUCAGAAAUUAGAUCGUUUUAACAAAAUAAAAAACUUGCUAUGAGAAAUGUCAUUUUAAACAA
RNAcentral lists this long non-coding RNA (5250 nucleotides) under Podarcis lilfordi (Lilford's wall lizard). Lineage: Eukaryota; Metazoa; Chordata; Lepidosauria; Squamata; Lacertidae. The record is from RNAcentral.